This 406-nucleotide ribosomal RNA is filed under the name uncultured bacterium. RNAcentral's name for it is "partial 16S ribosomal RNA". It matches the Rfam family "Bacterial small subunit ribosomal RNA", at positions 28 to 526 of the family's 1533-position model. The record is from RNAcentral.
GACGAACGCUGGCGGCAGGCCUAACACAUGCAAGUCGAACGAGUGGCGGACGGGUGAGUAAUGUCUGGGAAACGGCCCGAUGGAGGGGGAUAACGACUGGAAACGGUAGCUAAUACCGAAUACAAUCGGAUGUGCCCAGAUGGGAUUAGCUAGUAGGUGGGGUAACGGCUCACCUAGGCGACGAGCCCGAUCUUGUCUGAGAUGAGGACCAGCCACACUGGAACUGAGACCCGGUCCAGACUCCUACGGGAGGGAGCAGUGGGGAAUAUUGCACAAUGGGCGCAAGCCUGAUGCAGCCAGGCCCGGUGUAUGACGAAGGCCUUCGGGUUGUAAAGUACUUUCAGCGAGGAGGCGUUACUCGCAGAAGAAGCACCGGCUAACUCCGUGCCAGCCGCCGCGGUAAUUC